RNAcentral lists this ribosomal RNA (435 nucleotides) under uncultured bacterium. RNAcentral describes it as "partial 16S ribosomal RNA". It matches the Rfam family "Bacterial small subunit ribosomal RNA", at positions 29 to 507 of the family's 1533-position model. The record is from RNAcentral.
AGCGAACGCUGGCGGCAGGCUUAACACAUGCAAGUCGAGCGGGCAUCUUCGGAUGUCAGCGGCAGACGGGUGAGUAACACGUGGGAACGUACCCUUGGGUUCGGAACAACUCUGGGAAACUGGAGCUAAUACCGGAUACGCCCUUAUGGGGUAAGGUUUACUGCCGAAGGGUCGGCCCGCGACUGAUUAGCUUGUUGGUGGGGUAACGGCAUACCAAGGCGACGAUCAGUAGCUGGUCUGAGAGGAUGAUCAGCCACACUGGGGCUGAGACACGGCCCAGACUCCUACGGGAGGCAGGAGUGGGGAAUAUAGGACAAUGGGCGCAAGCCUGAUCCAGCCAUGCCGGGUGAGUGAUGAAGGCCUUAGGGUUGUAAAGCUCUUUUGUCCGGGACGAUAAUGACGGUACCGGAAGAAUAAGCCCCGGCUAACUUCGUG